GAUGAACGCUAGCUACAGGCUUAACACAUGCAAGUCGAGGGGAAACGACAUCGAAAGCUUGCUUUUGAUGGGCGUCGACCGGCGCACGGGUGAGUAACGCGUAUCCAACCUGCCCAUCACUUGGGAAUAACCUUGCGAAAGUAAGACUAAUACCCAAUGACAUCCCACGAAGACAUCUGAAUGGGAUUAAAGAUUUAUCGGUGAUGGAUGGGGAUGCGUCUGAUUAGCUUGUUGGCGGGGUAACGGCCCACCAAGGCAACGAUCAGUAGGGGUUCUGAGAGGAAGGUCCCACACAUUGGAACUGAGACACGGUCCAAACUCCGACGGGAGGCAGCAGUGAGGAAUAUUGGUCAAUGGGCGAGAGCCUGAACCAGCCAAGUAGCGUGCAGGAUGACGGCCCUAUGGGUUGUAAACUGCUUUUAUAAGGGAAUAAAGUGGGUCUCGUGAGACUUUUUGCAUGUACCUUAUGAAUAAGGACCGGCUAAUUCCGU
This 491-nucleotide ribosomal RNA is filed under the name uncultured bacterium. RNAcentral's name for it is "partial 16S ribosomal RNA". It matches the Rfam family "Bacterial small subunit ribosomal RNA", at positions 28 to 506 of the family's 1533-position model. The record is from RNAcentral.